Molecule: non-coding RNA, 95 nt
Organism: Paramarasmius palmivorus
Lineage: Eukaryota; Fungi; Basidiomycota; Agaricomycetes; Agaricales; Marasmiaceae
Source: the annotation of a GenBank genome assembly
GGGGGUAUAGCUCAGCUGGGAGAGCAGCAGACUGAAGUCCUACGUAUAGGGUAAAGUCCUUCUGAAGGUCCCGCGUUCGAUCCGCGGUACCCCCA